Long non-coding RNA from Gymnogyps californianus (California condor), 205 nucleotides. RefSeq lists it as uncharacterized. Lineage: Eukaryota; Metazoa; Chordata; Aves; Accipitriformes; Cathartidae. The transcript is spliced from 3 exons. The record is from RefSeq and is a predicted model, not a curated record.
GGGGUUCCAGGACUGAGCCUCUGGGAGAUGGCAUGGUUACAGAAGUGCCCGUAGGGAGGACUCUUCCAGCUCCUCGGCUGGACGCUCCGUUACAGCCCAGCUGGCAUCGCAGGGGUCCUCCAAGAGCAAAGUCCCAAGCCGAAGGAGGAAAAAAGUCCCCGGAGCCAUCUGAAGUCCUGAGGCAGAUGCUGGAGGAACUGGAGAG